GACGAACGCUGGCGGCGUGCUUAACACAUGCAAGUCGAGCGAUGAAGCUUCUUCGGAAGUGGAUUAGCGGCGGACGGGUGAGUAACACGUGGGUAACCUGCCUCAUAGAGGGGAAUAGCCUUCCGAAAGGAAGAUUAAUACCGCAUAAGAUGGUAAUAUCGCAUGAUAUAGCAAUUAAAGGAGGAAUCCGGUAUGAGAUGGACCCGCGUCGCAUUAGCUAGUUGGUGAGGUAACGGCUCACCAAGGCGAAGAAGCGUAGCCGACCUGAGAGGGUGAACGGCCACAUUGGGACUGAGACACGGCCCAGACUCCUACGGGAGGCAGCAGUGGGGAAUAUUGCACAAUGGGGGAAACCCUGAUGCAGCAACGCCGCGUGAGUGAUGACGGUCUUCGGAUGGUAAAGCUCUGUCUUCAGGGACGAUAAUGACGGUACCUGAGGAGGAAGCCACGGCUAACUACGUGCCAGCCGCCGCCGUAA
This 478-nucleotide ribosomal RNA is filed under the name uncultured bacterium. RNAcentral describes it as "partial 16S ribosomal RNA". It matches the Rfam family "Bacterial small subunit ribosomal RNA", at positions 28 to 523 of the family's 1533-position model. The record is from RNAcentral.